UCGAUCAUCGUUGAAGGCUCUGCUUCGAUUUCUUCUCGACCUUUUCUUUCGUGUUUCUUUCUCUCUCCCACAACAUUUUGCUUUGUUUCGAACCUGGUUUUCUUCCUCUCUCGCACUGCCCCUUUUCCUAAUAUCUAUUGUUUCCGUCUUUGUCUCGGCGCGAUCAUCCACUGUCGUUUUUGUUGUUGGAAUAGUCUUCUGCUCCUGCGAAUUUCUUUGGUUCGAAAGCUUUAGGUGGCUACAAGCUUUUGCCGUUUCAAUUUCAUCAAAAUCAUUUUUUUCCUUGCGUGACCUAGUGUCUUAUGGAAACACUGGUCAUGAAAUUUUAGAGCUUUUGUGUGCAGCGUUGGUAGCCCUUUGUGCUGAGUGUAUACAAUUUUUGUUUUUCCUUUUGUGUCUUUUGUUUAAGAAAUUUUUUUAUUUUUUUAUUUUUGGUGGCCUUUGGUCUACAGAUACAACUUCGGUUUAAAUUUUGGUUUUUUUUUUUUUUUUUUUUUUUUUUCAAAUUUUGGUUGCUUUUGUUUAUGUGUUUAGAUGCCUGAUUUUUUGACAAGGCGAUUCUGGCCGAUAACCAAAGAACUAGACCUCGCUACUAUCAGUAAACGAUUCCUCUUACUCCCAUGACAAAUAUUCAGGUAUUGCAUAUUGGAUUUCAUUUCAGUUUUUAGAAAACAGACAUGUAGUUCUUUGAUUCUACAAGUGAAGAUAAUACACAUAGUAACAAAGCACUCCUACACCUCUGAAUAAUGGGUCAACAAUCCAACUCCAAACUAGCAAGCAACAAACCAUCCCUAACCCUCACAAAGUCGCAUGGGCCACCAUCAAGAAGGCCCCUCCAAAACCUCUGCAUCAGCAUCCAGAUUUCCUUUGAAGUCAAUGCCAAACUGUAGUGUGAUGUUCAAACUUUGUGGCCUUUUGAAAUAAGUGGGAGCAUAAUUCAUUCUACUACAGAUUGUUCCCCUUUCCAUUUCCAUGAGGAAGAUGAGGAGACAAAAAGAAGUACAAAGGGAUGCAUUUAGCCUCCACUUUUGAGGUUCCAGGCACGCAAAAACUACCGACUAGUGAGCUCAAAAAAAAAAAAAAAUUCUCAAUUUGAUAUAAAGUUUGGAUUUUCAAGUCUGGAUUGGAUUUAAUUGUACAUUUAAUUUGAAUUUUAAUCCUUCAAGAAGAUUAAAAUUAAAAAAAAAAAAAAAAAACACCUGGUGUUAGAUUAAUUAUUGAUUUUAGACUCUUAAUGUGUACUUAAUUCAAAUUCAUAUUAUAUUUUUAGACUCUUUUACAUUAAACAAACAAAUGUGCACAUAUGCAUUCAAGAAGCUAAAAGUUACUCAAGGAUCAACGUUGUUGUCGUAUACUUAUUUACCUGUCCAUUCUAGGUAACUCAUGUAUACAACUUACAAGUAUACUCCUAUAUUAAUUUGUUUAGUUAAUAUGAUAAAUUGUUGU
Pyrus x bretschneideri (Chinese white pear) is the source of this 1446-nucleotide long non-coding RNA. RefSeq lists it as uncharacterized. NCBI's taxonomy places the organism in Eukaryota, Viridiplantae, Streptophyta, Magnoliopsida, Rosales, Rosaceae. The transcript has 4 exons. The record is from RefSeq and is a predicted model, not a curated record.